CUUUCAUACAAACUUCCAACCCCCGUUUUACCCCCUUAGGGGUCGAGUUUCGUAAAAUCCGUUCUUAGCGGAUGUCUACGACCUAUAAGGAGCCUACAAUUGAGGAGCUAAAUUUCAAGUUUGUAGGUGUUAUAGUUUCGGAGAUUUCGUGAUCAGUGAGUCAACCUACGAACCCCCGUUUUAACCCCAAAAAGGAGUUAAUUUCUAAAUAUACAUUAUUUGGACACC
Molecule: unclassified non-coding RNA, 228 nt
Filed under: Melitaea cinxia (Glanville fritillary)
Lineage: Eukaryota; Metazoa; Arthropoda; Insecta; Lepidoptera; Nymphalidae
Description: misc RNA ENSMCXG00005000034.1
Source: RNAcentral